UACGUAGGCAGCAAGCGUUGUUCGGAGUUCCUGGGCGUAAAGGGUGCGUAGGUGGCUCUAUAAGUAUGGUGUGAAAUCUCCCGGCUUAACUGGGAGGGUGCGCCGUAGACUGUGGGGCUAGAGUGUGGGAGAGGAAAGUGGAAUUCCUGGUGUAGCGGUGAAAUGCGUAGAUAUCAGGAGGAACACCGGUGGUGUAAACGGCUUUCUGGACCAUAACUGACACUGAGGCACGAAAGCGUGGGUAGCAAACAGG
RNAcentral lists this ribosomal RNA (253 nucleotides) under uncultured bacterium. Its description in RNAcentral is "partial 16S ribosomal RNA". It matches the Rfam family "Bacterial small subunit ribosomal RNA", at positions 524 to 776 of the family's 1533-position model. The record is from RNAcentral.